This 253-nucleotide ribosomal RNA is filed under the name uncultured prokaryote. RNAcentral's name for it is "partial 16S ribosomal RNA". It matches the Rfam family "Bacterial small subunit ribosomal RNA", at positions 524 to 776 of the family's 1533-position model. The record is from RNAcentral.
UACAGAGGGGGCAAGCGUUGUUCGGAAUUACUGGGCGUAAAGGGCGCGUAGGCGGCCUGUUAAGUCAUGCGUGAAAUCCCCGGGCUCAACCCGGGAACUGCGUCUGAUACUGGCAGGCUUGAAUCCGGGAGAGGGAUGUGGAAUUCCAGGUGUAGCGGUGAAAUGCGUAGAUAUCUGGAGGAACACCGGUGGCGAAGGCGGCAUCCUGGACCGGUAUUGACGCUGAGGCGCGAAAGCCAGGGGAGCAAACGGG